RNAcentral lists this long non-coding RNA (1544 nucleotides) under Ananas comosus (pineapple). Its description in RNAcentral is "long non-coding RNA (ACOM_LNC043877)". The record is from RNAcentral. Lineage: Eukaryota; Viridiplantae; Streptophyta; Magnoliopsida; Poales; Bromeliaceae.
UGCCUCCUGUUCCGCCGACUGUUUCUCCAGUGGUUUCUGGGCCCUCUGAUUCUAAUGUGACUGCGUUAGAGGCUGAGCGCGCGCGAUUUAUAAAGGUACUAGAGGCGUUUAUGCGGUUUAAUCCGCCUAUGUUUGAUGGAAAAGAAGUAGAUCCGUGGGUAGUGGAGACAUGGCUUACAGCGAUGGAGGCACUAUUUGAGGACAUUUACACCUUGGAAAGGGAUAAGGUCCCUUUGGCGGCACACUGCUUUGAGAAAGAUGCAUAGAUUUGGUGGCAGAAGGCUAAGAAGAAGCGGGCAUUAAAUCUAUCACCGCUCACUUGGGAGGAGUUUCGAGAGAUGUUAUUUACAGAGUACUUUCCCGACAGUGAUAAAAGGAAAAUGAAGGAAGACUUCCGUAAGUUGAGACAGGGAAACCGUUCGGUACGGGAGUACGAACGGGAAUUUACUCAUUUGGUGAACUGUGUGCCUGGGAUGGUUCAUACGGAUCGAGAUCGAGCGGAGUGUUUUGAGCGGGGGUUGCGACCGGACAUAUUCAGGACAGUCAAUGCUCUAAAGUUAAAAACUUUUGAGGAAGUUCUAGAUCGAGCUCUUUGGGUUGAGCGCGGGAAUGCGAUUGCGCGUGAUGAACGCGAAUCGUUUGAAAGGGAACGAGAAAGAGAAAAAGAAAAAAAGAGGACCACUAGUGGUGCCGGGGGACAGUCGAGCUCCAAACGGCCCCCUCGGCAUCCACGUUCUCAGUCGGGGUAUCAGGGACCCCCGAGAUGUGUGAUAUGCGGCGGAAAUCAUCGACCGAUGGCUUGUCCACAGCGGGAAGGUAAAUGUUUCAAGUGUGGUCAGCCGGGACAUAUGAUUCGUGAUUGCCCGAGGGGAGCAUCACCUGCACAGUCCACAGCUUCAGUCCAGUCACCCUCCAGACAGCGUUCUGGUCUACCGCCUGCUAUGUCAGCUGGACGUACUUUUGUGCCGCGUCAGUACGAGCCAACUCGAUCUGCACCGAGUACCCGUAUGGACACACCUCGAUCUGCACCGAGUGGUCGUGUAUUUGCAGCCCAGGUAGAGGAGCCGGCCGUAGUUGAGGACGUCGUGGCAGGUAUUGUUUUACUUUAUGGCACUAGAUCUCGUGCAUUAUUUGACACAGGUGCAUCGCAUUCAUUCAUCAGUAGCUCAUUUGCUAAGACGCAUGACAUUGAGAUUUCGGAUAGUGCUGAUGCCUGGUGGGUAUAUGCCCCUGAGCACACAUUUAGUGUCCACGAAGUGUGUGCGGCAUGUCCAGUACAGAUUGGUGAUUGGAUUAUGCCAGCAGAUCUGUUAGUGUUAAGCCGCAUGAAAGGCUUUGAUGUGAUCCUUGGAAUGGAUUGGCUUGCAAAGUACUAUGCCACGAUUAAUUGUGAAAGUAAAAUUAUUACUUUUCGUGAACCCGGGCAAAAAGAAGUUGUAUAUCGAGCGUGCAAGAGUUCGCUCUUUGCACUGACUGUAUCGUCGACGAGAGCAAGAAAGUUGAUUAGUAGUGGAUGUGCGGCUUAUUUGGCGACUGUAGUGGAG